GAGCUGGUUGCUUGACAUUUGACUUGGGCCUUGCUACUACACCAGCUUGUUUUAUAAGCACAUUGCUGCCACCAUUUGCUUACGAUGCUUCAAUCAUGGUAGAGUAAAAAAAGCAGUCUUCACUAAAAUCUGUGCUGAAAAAAAAUGUUAAAACAACUAUGGUAAAUUUGUAUGUAAUUUGUGUUGCAGAUGACGGCUUCUCACUUACCCUACACUCGCAAUGGUCUGAAAUUUUUUACAAAGAAAGGAGGUUUAACUUCGCCGGAAGUGGAAGAGAUAUGUGACAAAGCUGCUCAUAAGUACGCCAACAGGCUCACAAAAGUGUCGACCAUGCUUAACUCUCCUCCGAAAAAGGUUGA
RNAcentral lists this long non-coding RNA (359 nucleotides) under Gossypium barbadense (sea-island cotton). Its description in RNAcentral is "long non-coding RNA (GBAR_LNC013615)". The record is from RNAcentral. Lineage: Eukaryota; Viridiplantae; Streptophyta; Magnoliopsida; Malvales; Malvaceae.